Long non-coding RNA from Apodemus sylvaticus (European woodmouse), 404 nucleotides. RefSeq lists it as uncharacterized. The transcript has 2 exons. Lineage: Eukaryota; Metazoa; Chordata; Mammalia; Rodentia; Muridae. The record is from RefSeq and is a predicted model, not a curated record.
ACGCUUUGCUGCAGAAGGAUCCUGGUGUCUGCUUGCGUUCUUGCUGGCGAGACAAGAUAGCGUGGGACAAUUGGUGCUGAAACCCGGUAUGCCUCACCAUCGCUGGCACCGAGAAGACCCCCGGUCACAGGGCAGGAUUCAGGUCUGCAGGACUAGGGGGAAGACAACCCAUUCUGGCUGCCGGAGCGACUGACAUGGACAGUUCUGACACCUGAAGAUGACACUUGGACGGAUCCCACAGAGACUACCUCUGGCCCUCGUGCUGCCUCUUUGGACCUGGGUUCCUAGUAUAUUGGGAGAAUACAGAUGGGCUAUCUUGUCUGCCUUCCCGAAGCCAAUGCCUCUCUGUCAUGAUGCAGUUGUUUUCCCUAAGUUUUUUACAACUAAUAAAACCUUAGAAUUAC